RNAcentral lists this long non-coding RNA (319 nucleotides) under Carica papaya (papaya). RNAcentral's name for it is "long non-coding RNA (CPAP_LNC004854)". The record is from RNAcentral. Lineage: Eukaryota; Viridiplantae; Streptophyta; Magnoliopsida; Brassicales; Caricaceae.
AUCAAACAUAAAUAUAUAAACAAGUAACGUGUAUCCAACAAUGCAAUCAUAUCUUAAAUUUUCAAAAUCAAACAGUAGUCAAGUAAGACAGUAAUACACACAUUUAAACCAUACAAUAUACAAACUAGAUAUCAUCAUGCUUUUAGACUGUACAAUAAAUCAACAGUAAUCGACAGAAAAUAAUGUCUAAUUUUUGGCUCCAUUAACAAUCCGUAAUUAAUCAAGCACAUCCAUUUAAUUUGUAUGAAGGACCGUAUUAUUAUUUAUUUGAACUUUAAUUCCAUGAUAGGAAAUAGGGUGAGGGGUCCUUACUUGAUUC